AACGAACGCUGGCGGCAUGCCUAACACAUGCAAGUCGAACGAAGGCUUCGGCCUUAGUGGCGCACGGGUGCGUAACGCGUGGGAAUCUGCCCCUGGGUUCGGAAUAACAGCGGGAAACUGCUGCUAAUACCGGAUGAUGACGUAAGUCCAAAGAUUUAUCGCCCAAGGAUGAGCCCGCGUAGGAUUAGCUAGUUGGUGGGGUAAAGGCCCACCAAGGCGACGAUCCUUAGCUGGUCUGAGAGGAUGAUCAGCCACACUGGGACUGAGACACGGCCCAGACUCCUACGGGAGGCAGCAGUGGGGAAUAUUGGACAAUGGGCGAAAGCCUGAUCCAGCAAUGCCGCGUGAGUGAUGAAGGCCUUAGGGUUGUAAAGCUCUUUUACCCGGGAUGAUAAUGACAGUACCGGGAGAAUAAGCUCCGGCUAACUCCGUG
This 433-nucleotide ribosomal RNA is filed under the name uncultured bacterium. RNAcentral describes it as "partial 16S ribosomal RNA". It matches the Rfam family "Bacterial small subunit ribosomal RNA", at positions 29 to 507 of the family's 1533-position model. The record is from RNAcentral.